RNA transcript from Eurytemora carolleeae, 2293 nucleotides. It is a transcript of the gene named target of EGR1 protein 1, with no coding region annotated. NCBI's taxonomy places the organism in Eukaryota, Metazoa, Arthropoda, Copepoda, Calanoida, Temoridae. The transcript is spliced from 14 exons. The record is from RefSeq and is a predicted model, not a curated record.
UCGUUGCAUGAUCUUUAUGUUCUAGGAGCUAGCGCUGGAGUGUUUGUUGUGUUCCUCACUGCUGAGUGGAAAGGACAAGAUCUGCUUCAGUAUGUUCCUAUUUACAACAGGAAAUACUUCGAGGAGAAGGAGAGAGAUAUGUAGAUUUUCUUCGAAUUAAUAUUUAUGUAGUUUAUUCUAGUAGUUAAAUAAUACCUGCGCUUUUUCAUCACUUUGAAAUGUCAUGUCUGUCAUUAAAUAUUAAAUAAAUAUAUUUAAAUAUGCAUUGCCCAAUUUUAUGUUCAGCUUUCAGAGGAAAAUGGUUUUAAACCCCACAGCUGAUGUUGACGGACCAGAUGCGAUGUUUGAACCGAGCGCGGAGUUUAUGCGCGUACCUGUUGUCGAUGUGCACAAAGGAAAUCUUGCUGCGCACCUGGAGGAAAUGAAGAAAGCUAUUUCUAGUGCUUCAUUCAUUGCUCUUGACUGUGAAUUAAGUGGACUCGGUGACAGAAAGAAAUUAAACUCCCCAAGUAUUGACGACAGAUACAAGAACACAGGACUAGUUGCAAGAACAAGAUCAAUCAUAUCUCUGGGUAUCUCUACAUUCACAUUACACAACCCUGCUCCUGGUUCAUCAGAGAAUAGUGCUCAGGGUUCACCGGAGGGUACAGAGAAGUCAUGGAAUUACAGGGUGAAUUCAUUUAAUAUUAUGGUUCUUUGUGCAGAGGAUUAUAUUGUAGAACCUGGCUCCCUUAGGUUCCUUGUAGAGCAUGGGUUUGAGUUUGAGAAACAAUAUUCUCUUGGUGUACCGUAUACACGUGGAAAUGAUAGGGAGGGUGAGGAAGAUCAGACCUUAAGAGAACUUUUCUCUCACAUAGUAAAGUCAAGAAAGGCAGUUGUACUUCACAAUGGUUUGAUAGACCUGGUUUUCAUUUAUCAUAAUCUUUAUGCUGCUCUUCCUGAUAAAUUAGGAACCUUUAUAUCUGACCUAUCUGAGAUGUUUCCUGGUGGUAUAUACGACACCAAGUACAUUGCCGAGUUCGUGUCCAGGGCCCAGGCCAGCUUUCUGGAGUUCGUCUUUAGAAAAGAGCAGGUUGUGAACGUGUCUAAGUAUAGGGCGGGAAGACCCCAUGUCAAGGUUGGGUUUGAGAAUACGGAGAUGAAGGAUGUGGAUUGGAGACAUUGUGGAGAGGAGAAGGUCAGCUCAGGUGAAACAGUCUGCUUCAGCUACGCCCACCACGGGCACUGCCCGCUUGGUAACUCUUGUGUCAACAGUCACGAUAUUGAUCAUAUUAUCAAGAAUCGAGGCGAAGAGAAGAUGAAGAAGCAGAAGAAACGAAAGAACCCUGAGGACGAGAACGCUGAGAACACCAUCGAACCGGUUAGUGACGCCGCCGGUGAUGCCAUUGAGACACAAAUAACGUCGCCGCCUAACUCUGGCGGCCAUCGCGCCGGUUAUGACGCUUUUAUGACCGGAUUCGCGUUCUCCACGUUCUUAGUUCAUCAGACACAGAUCCCGCGUAACCCUGGAGACUUCUGCCCGGUCAGCAUACGCUCAGAACAGCUGGUCAACAGAAUAUACCUCACUUGCAAGGAUUUCCCGAUGUUGGUUCAGAAAUCUGCUUUCUCCAAGUGCUCGUCUGAGCACGCAGAUAAAAUGAAGAGACUCGGAAUACAAUAAUUCCCACCAAUCAUACUAGAACUAAGGAGAGAGGAUAAUUUUUGUUUAUAUUUUUACUAACCGGUGUUCCACGAAACAUGACAGUUGCGAGAUGCUAUCUAGACUAUCAUGUUUCGUGGGACACCCUAUAUGGCAUGAACAUUGUACCGUGUACAUGCAGGGUUGGCCACAAAGGAUACGACUUCAGGAGACGACAGUACACUCUCUUUCCUUCCAUCUAUGGUUCCCCGUAAAAGAUUAUAUUUAACCCACGUAUCUGAUAGUUUAAGAUUCAUACUUUCUGGGUUACCCCGUAUCAGCACAGCCCCAGGAACUGGUUGUAUUGUAAACAAACAAAUGGUCCAUCAAGACUCGACCUGUUUGUUUACAAUCUUUGUUAAUGUUUGCAAUUAAACCUGUUCUUGGUACGCUUGAAAUGUAAAGAAACCCAUUCUAAAUUAUAGAUAACUCCCAUUUUUUACUCCGCAUUUAUUUUUUCAUCUGAAAUUUUCAAUAUUUUCCAUAUUUCUCAAUGUUAUGUGUCUUAUAUGUCUUAAUUCUCCAAUUUAUUUUUCAGUUAAUGCUUUUUGUUAAUAGUCGGUUAAAGACGAUAUUAUUUUUUAACAAGAUGAAAAUACAUUCAUUGAAAGAAAA